This 77-nucleotide transfer RNA is filed under the name Klebsiella pneumoniae. Its description in RNAcentral is "tRNA-Met". It matches the Rfam family "tRNA". Rfam says of the family: Transfer RNA (tRNA) molecules are approximately 80 nucleotides in length. Their secondary structure includes four short double-helical elements and three loops (D, anti-codon, and T loops). Lineage: Bacteria; Pseudomonadati; Pseudomonadota; Gammaproteobacteria; Enterobacterales; Enterobacteriaceae. The record is from RNAcentral.
CGCGGGGUGGGGCUGCCUGGUGCCGCGUCGGGCUCAUAACCCGAAGGUCGUCGGUUCAAAUCCGGCCCCCGCAACCA